This is a long non-coding RNA of Corticium candelabrum, 1305 nucleotides long. RefSeq lists it as uncharacterized. The record is from RefSeq and is a predicted model, not a curated record. The transcript is spliced from 2 exons. NCBI's taxonomy places the organism in Eukaryota, Metazoa, Porifera, Homoscleromorpha, Homosclerophorida, Plakinidae.
UCAAGAUCAGCCAUUUUCGCCCGUUUCAUCCUCUUCUGUGCAAAAGAAAUCACGAGACCAACGCAAACUGCUGUUAGCAAUCAACUAAGAUACACUGCAUCCUAUGCUGAUCGAAACAGGGUAGCUGGUCGUCUCGUUUCCUGGGACGAAAUUCACAAAGUGAGGCGCCAUGGCGGUGACAGCAUCAAAGCGCGUCCGCUUCCAUCUCUCUCCUACGAAAACAAAACUCGUCUUCUGUUGCGUCUUACCUAUCGUUGAAUUUAUGCUCCAAACCUUCUUUUCACUACACGUUGUAACACAGUGGGGUAAAUUACAAUGGAAGUAACUGUGUUGAUUGUAUAGUCAACCCUCACUAGUCCAAAUCCUCGCUAAUCUGAAUCCUUGGGCCUUGCAUACCCGAUCCUAUUGGUCAGCCUGAUUCGGGUUGCGGUUAUCUGGUUGCAGUUAUCUGGUUGCAGUUAUCUAGUUUUUAGCAAAUGCUAACAGUAGUGGGACUAUUUUAAAUUGUGACUGUCACAUUAUUUAGAAGUACAUUGCAGCAAUGUCGUUUGCCUCAAACAUUGAUAUGUGUAGAGGCAUAUGUAAAUGCGCUAGUGGUCUGGGUGUCACGGGCAAGGUCUAGACCUCCAAGGCUACGUGUUUGGCAGUUUUGGUAAUCCGAACAACUUCACUAAUCUGAACAGGGUUUGGCAAAGGACUGUUUGGGUUAGCGAGGUUCUACUGUAUGUACUGAAAUUUAGUCACAUCUAUUAGUAGCCUAAAUUGGCUUUGCAUGAAUCCAGAAAUGCUAGUAGUAGUGGGAUGUGUGUUCACAUGUACUUGUGUCAGCAAACGGUUUAUUGCUAUUUGAGUUGGUUUUAUUAUUGCCAAUACUCGUAGAAGGUAAGCAAAACCUCUCUUACAAAAUUGCCAUCAAUAUAUCUCAGUUUCAAUUGCACUUGUUGCUGAAGAUAUGUACCUCUUGUGGUCGUUUUAGCCUAAUAGUGCUGAAAUGACUGUAUUACUUUAAAAUAUUCAAUUUUUGUAGAAUGCAUUGGUGCAAGCUGAAGUCGCUGAAUCGAAGAAGCAAGUGAAGAAACUAGAAGCUGAAUUACUGAAGAUUCAGAGUCAGAAGUCUUAUGAAGACAUGACGGUUGAUGAAGUUCUGGAUCUUUAUCCAGACCUGAAAAGAGAAGUCGAUGAAGAACUAAAGCGUGGUGAAUGGUACUAAACAUUUACUUCACUGAUAUUGUAUUUUGACUCCCAUUUGAUUGCCUUGUGGUAUGGAUAAGUGUAUAUGUGGCUAUAAAAGAAACCAACAAGAUA